GAAUGGCGUAAUGAUGGCCAGGCUGUCUCCACCCGAGACUCAGUGAAAUUGAACUCGCUGUGAAGAUGCAGUGUACCCGCGGCAAGACGGAAAGACCCCGUGAACCUUUACUAUAGCUUGACACUGAACAUUGAGCCUUGAUGUGUAGGAUAGGGUGGGAGACUAUGAAGUGUGGACGCCAGUCUGCAUGGAGUCAACCUUGAAAUACCACCCUUUAACGUUUUGAUGUUCUAACCUAGGUCCAUAAUCUGGAUCGGGGACCGUGUCUGGUGGGUAGUUUGACUGGGGCGGUCUCCUCCUAAAGAGUAACGGAGGAGCACGAAGGUUGGCUAAGCAUGGUCGGACAUCAUGCGGUUAGUGCAAAGGCAUA
This 370-nucleotide ribosomal RNA is filed under the name Shigella sp. FC1967. RNAcentral describes it as "bacterial LSU rRNA". It matches the Rfam family "Bacterial large subunit ribosomal RNA", at positions 1994 to 2361 of the family's 2925-position model. Lineage: Bacteria; Pseudomonadati; Pseudomonadota; Gammaproteobacteria; Enterobacterales; Enterobacteriaceae. The record is from RNAcentral.